UACGGAAGGCAGCAGUGGGGAAUAUUGCACAAUGGGCGCAAGCCUGAUGCAGCCAUGCCGCGUGUAUGAAAAAGGCCUUCGGGUUGUAAAGUACUUUCAGUCGUGAGGAAGGUGUUAAGGUUAAUAACCUUAGCAAUUGACGUUAGCGACAGAAGAAGCACCGGCUAACUCCGUGCCAGCAGCCGCGGUAAUACAGAGGGUGCGAGCGUUAAUCGGAAUUACUGGGCGUAAAGGGCACGCAGGCGGUUAAUUAAGUUGGAUGUGAAAUCCCCGGGCUUAACCUGGGAAUGGCAUUCAAGACUGGUUAGCUAGAGUCUUGUAGAGGGGGUAGAAUUCCAUGUGUAGCGGUGAAAUGCGUAGAGAUGUGGAGGAAUACCGGUGGCGAAGGCGGCCCCUGGACAAAGACUGACGCUCAUGUGCGAAAGCGUGGGGAGCAAACG
This 440-nucleotide ribosomal RNA is filed under the name uncultured bacterium. Its description in RNAcentral is "bacterial SSU rRNA". It matches the Rfam family "Bacterial small subunit ribosomal RNA", at positions 340 to 774 of the family's 1533-position model. The record is from RNAcentral.